AACUAGUAUUUUUUGUUAAGUGAUAUUUUAUUUUUAAGUAAUCUCUACACCCAACAUGGGGCUCAAACUCACCACUCCAAGAUCAAGAGUUGCAUGCUCUUAGAACUGAGCCAGCCGGGAACCCCU
This is a long non-coding RNA of Herpailurus yagouaroundi (jaguarundi), 126 nucleotides long. RefSeq lists it as uncharacterized. NCBI's taxonomy places the organism in Eukaryota, Metazoa, Chordata, Mammalia, Carnivora, Felidae. The record is from RefSeq and is a predicted model, not a curated record. The transcript is spliced from 3 exons.